Molecule: ribosomal RNA, 480 nt
Filed under: uncultured bacterium
Lineage: Bacteria
Description: bacterial SSU rRNA
Rfam family: Bacterial small subunit ribosomal RNA
Source: RNAcentral
AGUGAAUAGAUACCCAGGUAGUCCUGGCCGUAAACGAUGGGCACUAGGUAGAGGGAAUUCCGAUAUUCUCUCUGCUGGAGCGAAAGCGUUAAGUGCCCCGCCUGGGGAGUACGGCCGCAAGGCUGAAACUCAAAGGAAUUGACGGGGGCUCGCACAAGCGGUGGAGUAUCUGGGUCAAUUCGAUGCAACGCGAAGAACCUUACCUGGGUUUGACAUGCUCGUGGUACGGACCUAGGAAAGGGCGAGGAACCCGGGGAAACCGGAGCGAGCACAGGUGCUGCAUGGCUGUCGUCAGCUCGUGUCGUGAGAUGUUAGGGUUAACGUCCCGUAACGAGCGAAACCCUUGUCCCUAGUUACCAGCGGGUCAUGGCCGGGGACUCGUAGGGAGACUGCCGGUGCCAAACCGGAGGAAGGUGGGAUGACGUCAAGUCAUCAUGGCCUUUAUGCCCGAGGGCGCCACGAGGUACUACAAUGGCCGAC